RNAcentral lists this long non-coding RNA (2031 nucleotides) under Oryctolagus cuniculus (rabbit). Its description in RNAcentral is "lncRNA (ENSOCUG00000035192.1)". The record is from RNAcentral. Lineage: Eukaryota; Metazoa; Chordata; Mammalia; Lagomorpha; Leporidae.
GCACACUAUACCCAGCUGUAUUGAUUUAUUGGGAAUUUUCUGUACCUAUUGUCAUUCUGAAAUCCUGAAAAUGUCAGGGUUUCUAGAAAUAUGGGGAAAGUAGUCUUUGCAGAGUGUGCGGAAGAAGAGUUUUUUAUUUAAAAACUCCAUACAUGCUGAUAACCAUUCCUCCUGGAAGACUAAGCAUGAGAAUCUGUUCCUAAGCUGUGGUCCUGCUUAACAGACAUGUUCCUCUCCUGCAUCUACAGGUAAAUAAUACAAUAAAAUUUUUCCAUCAUCCAUGCUGAGAAUUCUUCAGAGAAACACAGAAAAAGAAGAGAGAAAAUGAAUGGCUAAUCAAAACCACUCAGCUUAUUACUCCAUUUAGUCAGUGAGUAUUUUUUUUUUUUUACUAAAUGUUUCCCCACUUUUAAAAAUGCCUAUUUGGUUAUUUUCUUCUACUUGAAAGAAAAAGUGGCAGUAGAAGUAAGAAGAUCUUCCAUCUACUGGUUCAUUCCCCAACUGCUUGCAACUGUUAGGACUGGCCAGGCUGAAGCCAAAAACCUGAAACUCCAUCAAGGUCUCUCAAGUGUGUUAUUCUUAAGUGUGUAAGGACCCCAAGCACUUGAGUUUUCCUCUGCAGAUUUCCAGGAUACAUUAGCAAGAAGCUGUGUUGGAAACAAAUUAGCCAAGUGUUAAACUGGCACUGCUAUGGGUUUGAUUCAGGCAUCCCAAACACUGGUGUACCAUAGUACACCACCCCAUUUAGUGAAAACACUAAAGAUUGUAGGACCACAUGAUUGAAAAUGGGGAAAUAUAUUGGUGUCAUUUUUUAUGUUACUAUAUCAAGAGAAAAAAUGUUUUAGUCAUAAAUAAAUACAUUUUACUGAUAUGUUAAAAUCAUAGGCCACUAGGACACGAAGAAACUUCAUUGCUUUUGCAUGAGCAUUACAAACAAACAUAUAUGUUCAAUUGAUGUGUUUUUUUCUCAUUCCAGUUGUCCAGUGGAUGAUUUGGUUGUGAAAAACCAGGAGUGUCAAGACAUGAAUCUGAGAUUUACAGAACAUCUUUCUUGUGAAGACUGUUGCUUGUCCAGUGGGUCCAAAUGGCUGCUUCAUGAUGUGAAUCUUGUCAUGCUGACUAAGAGGCUCACAGAACUGGAGAGAUUUUCCAGGUAUCUUAGUGUUAUCAAAUUUCUCUCCAGCCUGUAGUUGAUCAGGCCCACUGGGGGGAUACACAGUGUGACAUUUAUUGCAUUCCUCAGGCUUCAGUCCUGAAUAGAUUCCCUUUUUAAUAAUCAGUGUUGGAACAUGGAUUGAAUUUAAACUAAGUGUUUUUCUUAAUUCUAUUCUCUUGAGUGCUGAUGUCUUGUUAUUUUUCAUAAAAUCCUGAUUCAGAUUUUUGUCCUGACUUUCCUGGUUGAUCCUAAUCAGGUCAUCCCUUUUCAUGACCACUGAAAUGAGAAAAAGCAAUCAUGUCACUGAAUCACAUGUAACUGUUUCUCCUGGCAUACUCAUGUAAAGGGAAUGAAGGUACUUGUUAUCCAAGUGGCAUAAGAUUUUCACAAAAUCAGUAUGAGGUACUUAUUUGUGACCAUUAUAUGGUUUUUCUCCUUAAUACAUUAAUAUACCAUGAGGUUUCCCAAUGUUCAAACAUGAUCCUUUUUACUAUGGGAAAUUGUCAAGGAUGGUAGAAUGACAUUUGUGCUAUGGUGUGUGGGAUGCCUGCAUCUCAAAACAGUGUCAGUUUGAGCCCUGGCUACUCUGCUUUUAGUACAGCUCUCUGCCUAUGUAAACUGGAAGGAACCAAAUAAUGGUUCAUGUGCCUGGGAACCUGUGAGAAACCAGGGAAGACUAGAGGAAUUCUAGAGCUUUGGCUUCAGACUAGUUAGACCUAAGUGUUGCAGGCAUCUGGGAAGUGAGCUAAUACAGGACUUCUUUCUCUCUCUCUCUUCUCUCACUAUCACUCUGCUUUUCACAAAGAUGAAAUAACUAUAAAAUAUUUUAAAGAAUGGACAAAUAUUUAAUAAAAAUAUUCACCCACUACCUAGCA